GGAGUCUAGCAUGUGCGCGAGUCAUUGGGACUCGAGCGAAACCUAAAGGCAAAAUGAAAGUGAAGGUUGGCGAUUUCGUUGCGAACCGAGGGAGGAUGGGUCGCGCUCGUCGCGGCCCCGCACUCCCGGGGCGUUUCGUUCUCAUAGCGAGAAGAGGCGCACCCAGAGCGUACACGCUGGGACCCGAAAGAUGGUGAACUAUGCCUGGUCAGGACGAAGUCAGGGGAAACCCUGAUGGAGGUCCGUAGCGAUUCUGACGUGCAAAUCGAUCGUCGGAACUGGGUAUAGGGGCGAAAGACUAAUCGAACCAUCUAGUAGCUGGUUCCCUCCGAAGUUUCCCUCAGGAUAGCUGGCGCUCGUUUUAUGCGAGUGUCAUCCGGUAAAGCGAAUGAUUAGAGGCAUUGGGGUCGAAACGGCCUCAACCUAUUCUCAAACUUUAAAUGGGUGAGAACUCCGGCUUGCUCGAUCAAUGAAGCCGCGAGUAUUAAUGUUACGUUGCACAUUGUGGUAGCGUCGCAUUAGACGGAUCAGAGUGCCAAGUGGGCCACUUUUGGUAAGCAGAACUGGCGCUGUGGGAUGAACCAAACGCAGAGUUAAAGCGCCAAAAUCGACGCUUAUGGGAUACCAUGAAAGGCGUUGGUAACUUAAGACAGCAGGACGGUGGCCAUGGAA
This 672-nucleotide ribosomal RNA is filed under the name Meliboeus sp. UPOL RK0814. RNAcentral's name for it is "eukaryotic LSU rRNA". It matches the Rfam family "Eukaryotic large subunit ribosomal RNA", at positions 670 to 1259 of the family's 3401-position model. Lineage: Eukaryota; Metazoa; Arthropoda; Insecta; Coleoptera; Buprestidae. The record is from RNAcentral.